RNAcentral lists this ribosomal RNA (390 nucleotides) under uncultured bacterium. Its description in RNAcentral is "bacterial SSU rRNA". It matches the Rfam family "Bacterial small subunit ribosomal RNA", at positions 30 to 424 of the family's 1533-position model. The record is from RNAcentral.
AUUGAACGCUGGCGGCAUGCUUUACACAUGCAAGUCGAACGGUAACAGCACUUCGGUGGCUGACGAGUGGCGAACGGGUGAGUAAUGUAUCGGAACGUGCCCAGUAGUGGGGGAUAACUACUCGAAAGAGUGGCUAAUACCGCAUGAGAUCUCUGGAUGAAAGCGGGGGACCGUAAGGCCUCGCGCUACUGGAGCGGCCGAUAUCAGAUUAGGUUGUUGGUGGGGUAAAGGCCUACCAAGCCUGCGAUCUGUAGCUGGUCUGAGAGGACGACCAGCCACACUGGGACUGAGACACGGCCCAGACUCCUACGGGAGGCAGCAGUGGGGAAUUUUGGACAAUGGACGCAAGUCUGAUCCAGCAAUGCCGCGUGCAGGACGAAGGCCUCGGUU